AUUCUUUGGAACUCUGCAUUCAAAUGGAUAUAUCUUUCCUUUUAUUCCUUUGCCUUUUGCUUCUUUCCUCAGCUAUUUGUGAGGCCUUCUCAGACAACCAUUUUGUCCUUUUGCAUUUCUUUUUCUUGGGGAUGGUCUUGAUCAUGGCCUUCUGUACAAUGUCAUGAACCUCUGUCCAUAGUUCUUCAGGCACUCUGUCUAUCAGAUCUAAUCCCUUGAAUCUAUUUGUCACUUCCGUUGCAUAAUCAUAAGGGAUAUGAUUUAGGUCAUACCUGAAUCGUCUAGUUGUUUUCCCUACUUUCUUUGAUAUAAGUCUGAAUUUUGCAAUAAGGAGUUCAUGAUCUGAGCCACAGUCGGCUCCUGGUCUUGUUUUUGCUGACUGUACAGAGCGUCUCCAUCUUUGGCUGCAAAGAAUAUAAUCAAUCUGAUUUCAGUAUUGGCCAUCUGGUGAUGUCCAUGUGAAGAGUCAUCUCUUGUGUUGUUGGAACAGGGUAUUUUCUAUGACCAGUGCGUUCUCUUGGCAAAACUCUGUUAGCCUUUGCCCUGGUUCAUUUUGUACUCCAAGGCCAAACUUGCCUGUUACUCCAGGUAUCUCUUGACUUUCUACUUUUGCAUUCCAGUCCCCCAUGAUGAAAAAGACAUCUUUUCUUGGUGUUAGUUCUAGAAGGUCUUAUAUGUCUUCAUAGAACUGUUCAACUUCAGCUUCUUCAGCAUUAGUGGUUGGAGCAUAGACUUGGAUUACUGUGAUACUGAAUGGUUUGCCUUGGAAACGAACAGAGAUCAUUCUGUCAUUUUUGAGAUUGCACCCAAGUACUGCAUUUAGGACUCUUUUGUUGACUGUGAGGGCUAUUGCAUUUCUUCUGAGGGAUUCUUGCCCACAAUAGUAGAUGUAAUGGUCAUUGAAUUAAAUUUUCCCAUUUAGUCCAUUUUAGUUCACUGAUACCUAAAAUGUCAAUGUUCACUUUUGACAUCUCCUGUUUGACCACUUCUAAUUUACCUUGAUUCAUGGACCUAACCGUCCAGGUUCCUAUGCAAUGUUGUUCUUUACAACAUCAGACUUUACUUCCAUCACCAGUCACAUCCACAUGGGUGUUGUUUUCCCUUUGGCUCAGCCUCUUACAUUCCUUCUGGAGCUAUUUCCCCACUCUUCUCCCGUAGCAUAUUGGGCACCUACUGACCUGGGGAGUUCAUCUUUCAGUAUCCUAUCUUUUUGCCUUUUCAUACUGUUCAUGGGGUUCUCAAGGCAAGAAUACUGAAGUGAUUUGCCAUUCCCUUCUCCAACGGACCAUGUUUUGUCAGAACUCUCCACCAUGACCCCCGUCUUGGGUGGCCCUACAUGGCAUGGCUCAUAGUUUCACUGAGUUAGACAAGGCUGUGGUCCCUGUGAUCAGUUUGGUUAGUUAUCUAUGAUCGUGAUAAGAGCUUGUGGAAGCUUCCUGAUGGGAGGGACUGGCUGUAGGGGAAUCUGGGUCUUGCUCUGAUGGGUGGGCCCAUGCUCAGUAAAUCUUUAAUCCAAUUUUCUGUUGACAAGUGGGGCUGUGUUCCCUCCUCAGGGUGAGGCUGUGGCCCCAGGCCAAACUAUGGUAGGGGUAAUGGCGACCCCCUUCAGAAGGGCUUAUGCUAGCACACCCUGCAGCUCGCAGGACUGUCGUAUUCCAUGCCCCUGGUCACUGCUGACCCACGCCUCCACUGGAGACGCCUGGACACUCACUGGCAAGUCUGGGUCAGUCUCUUGUGAGGUCACUGUUUCUUUCUCCAGGGUCCUGAUGCACACAGGUUUUGACUGUGCCCUCCAAGAGUCUGUUUCCCCAGUCCUGUAGAAGUUCUCUAAUCAAAUCCCACUGGCUCCAAACUCAAAUUCCCUGGGGGUUCUCCGUCCCUUUGCCAGAUCCCCAAGUUGGGAAAUCUGUUGUGGGCCCUAGAACUUUUGCAACAGUGUGAGAACUUCUUUGAUAUAAUUGUUCUCCAGUUUAUGGGUCGUCUGCUCUAUGCUCUAAUGGUGACCUCCUCCAAGAGGACUCAUGCCACAUGCGGCGCCUCCCAGGACUGCUGCAGCCAGAGCCCCAUCCCCGUGCAGCCACUGCUGACCUGUGUCUCCGCAGGUCAAAGGCAGGUCUGGCUCAGUCUCUGUGGGGUCUCUGGGUCCAGGUGCACACCAGGUUUUGUUUGAGCCCUUUGAGUGUCUCUGGCAGGUAUGGGGUUUGAUUCUAAAUGCAAUUGCACCCCUCCUACCAUCUUGCUGAGGCUUCUCCUUUGCCCUUGGAUGUGGGGUAUUUUUUUUGGUGGGAUCCAACAUUUUCCUGUCAAUGGUUGUUCAGCAACGUGUUGCAACUUGGAGUGCUCGCAGGAGAAGAUGAGCACCCGUCCUUCUACUCUGCCAUCUUUUCUACUCCGUAAUGAUACGCAGAUGAUACCACCCUAAUGGUAGAAAGUGAAGAGGAACUAAAGAGCCUCUUGAUGAAGGUGAAAGAGGAGAGUGAGAAAACAGGAAUAAAAUUCAAAAUUCAAAAAACUAAGAUCAUGGUAUCUGGUCCAAUCACUUUAUGGCUAAGAGAUGGGGAAGAAAUGGAAACAGGCUCCAAAAUCACUGCAAUGGUGACUGCAGCCAUGAAAUGAAACACCUUACUCAGAACUCCAAAAGAUGAACCACAGACUGGGAGAAACUAUUUCCAAAACACAUCAUAGAAAGGAUCUGUGCUCAAAUGAUACCAAACAGUUCCUUAAAGCUUGAUAAAGAUUGAAAUACAUACCUGGCCAAAGAAUAUAAACAGAUAUGUACGUAGAAAUUUAUAUCAAUAUAUAGAGAAUUGUUUAUAUCUCUCUGUAGAUAGAUG
Long non-coding RNA from Bos taurus (domestic cattle), 2834 nucleotides. The record is from Ensembl. NCBI's taxonomy places the organism in Eukaryota, Metazoa, Chordata, Mammalia, Artiodactyla, Bovidae.